CCUACGGGAGGCAGCAGUGAGGAAUAUUGGUCAAUGGGCGGAAGCCUGAACCAGCCAAGUAGCGUGCGGGAUGAAGGCCUUCGGGUUGUAAAGAUCUGUUGACAGGGACGAAUAAGCCAUGCGAAUAGUUUGGUGUAUGACGGUACCUGUUUAGAAAGCUCCGGCUAACUACGUGCCAGCAGCCGCGGUAAUACGUAGGGAGCAAGCGUUGUCCGGAAUUACUGGGCGUAAAGGGCGCGUAGGUGGGUGCUUAAGUCAGGUGUGAAAACUCUGGGCUCAACCUGGAGACUGCACUUGAAACUGGGUAUCUUGAGGGCAGGAGAGGAAAGUGGAAUUCCUAGUGGAGCGGUGAAAUGCGUAGAUAUUAGGAGGAACACCAGUGGCGAAGGCGACUUUCUGGACUGUACCUGACGCUGAGGCGCGAAAGCGUGGGUAGCGAACGGGAUUAGAUACCCGAGUAGUC
RNAcentral lists this ribosomal RNA (463 nucleotides) under uncultured bacterium. RNAcentral describes it as "partial 16S ribosomal RNA". It matches the Rfam family "Bacterial small subunit ribosomal RNA", at positions 338 to 795 of the family's 1533-position model. The record is from RNAcentral.